RNAcentral lists this long non-coding RNA (1116 nucleotides) under Anser cygnoides (Swan goose). Its description in RNAcentral is "lncRNA (ENSACDG00005010835.1)". The record is from RNAcentral. Lineage: Eukaryota; Metazoa; Chordata; Aves; Anseriformes; Anatidae.
AUGCAGCAGUUUGUGCAGCAGGGCACAAAGAAGGAAGAGCGCCUUCGUCAAAUUCAGAUCACUGUAACAGUCCUGGACUACCCCUGCCAGGGUGGAGGCUUUGGCCCCGGCCUAGCUUUGGGUGGCAGAUGCAGCCCUCCAAGGCCCCGGCUGCAGGAGCGCCGGGGGCCUCUCCCCGCAGGAGGUGCGCUGUCGAGUGGAGGAUUUAUGGAAGUGAGCGGGCUGUGCAGCAUCAGAGAAGAUAAAAGGGAGACAGACAGGGUCUUCUCUGAGACAGAACAGUUUGAAGAGCCUCAGACUCCGACUGCAAGAGAGGAGGUGGCAGUGUCCAGCCCCACUGUUAAGGGAAGCACUUAAGGUUCUUGGUAAAAGAAUGAAAAAUGAAACGACAGAAGAAUACCACAUUAAAAAGACCCAAGGAAAUGACCUUAGGAAGAGGGACCCUCCCUUUAACUGGUGUAAAGCAUCACAUCUCCUCUCAAGCCAACAGAGCUAAGUGAAUCCACAGCGGCUGAAGAACUCAACCAGAAGUUUUGGUUGAAACACACUGAGGUAAAAAUCGAUGCAUCACCUACUAUUACGUAGGGUACAUCACGUAAAAUAGCAGUUUGACAAUAUUGUUGAAUGGGAUUUACGAGCUCAUGAAAACGUCAUUUAAAAGUGGUGCACAAGUUCUUAGUCAUUUAAAUAAGUCCCAGUCCCAGAAACUUUAGUUAGAUCCAAUUGCUGCUGCUGCUCACGGCAGUAACUCCUUGCACAGAACUGUUUCAUGACUGAGGACUUGCACAGGAACAGCAAAUUCAGACAAUUUUCCAUAGACCGAAGGACAUUCGUGCGCCCACCUACAGGGCAAAUCCAUUUACGGCGUUUUGCCCCUGUAUUUUGAAGGUGUGCUGCAGUUACACAAAGUGAGGAUCCACCAAGAGGGAGAGCAAGAGCACGUGUCCAUUCAUAGUGGUGGAGGUGAUGCCUGCGGUGGGGAGCCCACGAUUCCAGUUCUUUCUCCUAGAACAACAGCUGCAUUUAUCCAACUAUGAUCCCAUGUAAAAUGUGUGGGCAGCUUUGCAGCAGCCAGGACGUUUCACUGUCCGUGAAAUAAAUAGAAAUGUCACUGCA